RNAcentral lists this unclassified non-coding RNA (260 nucleotides) under Rhinocladiella sp. RNAcentral describes it as "partial internal transcribed spacer region". The stretch from base 1 to 46 matches the Rfam family "Eukaryotic small subunit ribosomal RNA", at positions 1786 to 1831 of the family's 1831-position model. The record is from RNAcentral. Lineage: Eukaryota; Fungi; Ascomycota; Eurotiomycetes; Chaetothyriales; Herpotrichiellaceae.
AAGUCGUAACAAGGUUUCCGUAGGUGAACCUGCGGAAGGAUCAUUACCGAGUUAGGGCCCUCUAGGGCUCGACCUCCUACCCUUUGUCUACCUUACCUUUUGUUGCUUCGGCGGACCCGUCCCUCAGGGGACCGCCGGAGAGCUCACGCUCUCUGGCCCGCGUCCGCCGGUGGCCCACAACCAAAACUCUUGUUUAAACGUGUCGUCUAAGUACAAAAAGAAAUAAGUAAAAACUUUCAACAACGGAUCUCUUGGUUCUG